AGGAAACAACUGCCCCUGUUCCUAACCCACUGGUGGUUGGAGGAAAGGGUGUGGGACCAAGGUGUGGCAUGGGCCAUCUAAGGAAGCUUCCCCAGACCUGGUCUCUCUUUCCCAAGCAGAUGGUCCUCUCCUGAUCUCCAAACCGGCCACAGAGGACUGAGCAUUCGCUGUAGCUAUAGAAGGUUGGACUGAUGGCUGGAAAUGAAGACGGAAAAGGAGGGCCGGGAAAGGGGCUCCUGGCUUUACUUGACCUCGAAGGCGUUGAACGUGUUGCGUAAAGGAGGGAACAGAUUCUGGAUGCUGCGCUACUGUACUGGGGAGGAAAUCGGACACUUUCUGGAGGUGACAGAGAUUGGAAUGGGUGGAGAACAGCACGCCUCAAGGCCAUAAAAUCGAACCUCUUGGAAGAAUCAGGUGCAUCAGAAAUUACGGGAAGAGGGAC
Long non-coding RNA from Varanus komodoensis (Komodo dragon), 442 nucleotides. RefSeq lists it as uncharacterized. NCBI's taxonomy places the organism in Eukaryota, Metazoa, Chordata, Lepidosauria, Squamata, Varanidae. The record is from RefSeq and is a predicted model, not a curated record. The transcript is spliced from 3 exons.